This 329-nucleotide unclassified non-coding RNA is filed under the name soil metagenome. RNAcentral describes it as "partial contains 5.8S ribosomal RNA, internal transcribed spacer 2, and large subunit ribosomal RNA". The stretch from base 1 to 120 matches the Rfam family "5.8S ribosomal RNA", at positions 35 to 154 of the family's 154-position model. The record is from RNAcentral.
GAUGAAGAACGUAGUGAAAUGCGAAAAGUAGUGUGAAUUGCAGAAUUCAGUGAAUCAUCGAAUCUUUGAACGCACAUUGCGCCCCCUGGUAUUCCGGGGGGCAUGCCUGUCCGAGCGUCAUUACAACCCUCAAGCUCAGCUUGGUGUUGGGCCCCGCCGCCCCGGCGGGCCCUAAAGUCAGUGGCGGUGCCGUCCGGCUCCGAGCGUAGUAAUUCUUCUCGCUCUGGAGGUCCGGUCGUGUGCUCGCCAGCAACCCCCAAUUUUUUUCAGGUUGACCUCGGAUCAGGUAGGGAUACCCGCUGAACUUAAGCAUAUCAAUAAGCGGAGGA